Anolis carolinensis (green anole) is the source of this 2164-nucleotide long non-coding RNA. NCBI's taxonomy places the organism in Eukaryota, Metazoa, Chordata, Lepidosauria, Squamata, Anolidae. The record is from Ensembl.
UAACUCCUUGAUUGUAUGUAGUUAUUAGGUCAGUGCUGGAUGCUUGAAGAAUCCAACAUGUUUGGUGUGCACGGCGGAAGUCUGUUCUUUCCUGACACCUACAUAAGACUAGCAUUUUAUGGAUAUAAUAUCUUUGUUUGUUUCUUCAGUGUAUAGUCUACUUAGUUACAAUAUAGUUACAAUAUUGCUGUAUCUUAGUAUGAUAUGGAUUCCUUUUUCUUUUGUUGUAGUGUUCACCAUCAUCCUAAGACAUAGAAGCCCCCAUGAAAUAGUACUGUGCACAGCUUCAGCAUUUUCAGAGCAGCGACAACAUUAUGCGCGAAAUAUAAUACCAGCCUGAGGUGGAGAAAGAUAAUUCACAGAGCGAGAAGGGAGUUCAUUUUUCAGCUGGACACUUUGAAGAAGCAAAGAAGGCCCUUCUCUUCACUGGUCUGCCUUAUCAUUGAAAAUUGAAAAUAAAUUAAAGCUGUAUGAAAUGGAGCUAACAUGCUAGAACUACAGUAGCCUGGUAAAUUGGAUUUGGCUGGCUAAAAACAUCAUUAACUUAAAGCAUUCUAGCUUACUAGGGCAAAGUGAGCUCUCAUGGACAAGGAUAUGAUCACAUGCUUUCUUCAUUUACAUUUUAACCCCCUUUAGCACUUCUCAAGCCAGCUUAAUGCAGACUUCUUAGAAGCUCAAACAAUGCUUGAAUCUUGAUAGUUUAGAGGCCAAGCUAUGAAGUAUUAUUUUGAGAUACUGUCAUAUGGCAAAAGCGAUAUGACAGUAUCAAAAAUAGCCUUCAAUGUGCUUUUCAUAUCUUUUGUAUUAUUCAAUAAAUUAGUUAAAUUUGACUUGUCCAAACAUGGUUUCUUAGUUAUUGAUUGUACUGUAACCCACCCAUCUAUGAUACAAGUUUUAGUCCAAUGACAUGGGAAUCAAUGGGAAGGCUGAAAUGACAUCUUUUCACUAGAUUUCUCAUUCAGAUUGUAGUGAUUCACAGAGAAAAUGACAAUAGGGUAGUAAGGAUAAAAUUUCCACAUCUGAAAAAAAGCAGUUUGCUUUGGAAUGUCACCUAAUUUUAUCAACAAACAGUUGUAUAUAGCAAAAUCAUGUGUUUUAUUAGGUAGGAUUGAUUAUGAAUAAGAUUACUGCUCUCGGUUUUUAAGUUAGUUUGUUGGAUCACCAAUCAACUGAGUUGAGAAACAUGCAGAGAAAUUAACAGAAGAUGCAAACCAGUAUUUUUAGUAUGGAAAUGAAUCUGUCGAGAAUCCUGCCAUCCCUUGUAUGUGUGUCUUUUGACAUUGUCUUUUUUCAUUGUUCUUUCCAGCAAGAGGCAGGAGGUGUGCUCUCUUCACCUGACAGCAUAGGUAAGUGGUUCUCAACCUGUGGGUCCCCAGAUGUUUUGGCCUUCAACUCCCAGAAAUCCUAAUAGCUGGUAAACUGGCUGGGAUUUAUGGGAGUUGUAGGCCCAAACACCUGGGGAUCCACAGGAUGAGAACCACUGGCAUAGGAGGAUGCAAAAACCAAACUAGAUUAUUGUUUUGUGAUUUUGUUAUGGAAUAUUCCUGCACUAUUCAGUGAAUAUUAGAUCUAAAGUGGAAGAUCAUUGCUAAGUGUAUGAGUUAUGGUUUUCUUCCAGGUGAAGUAAUGCCGUGGUUGCUUCAGUUCAUUUCAGCUCCAUGUAUCAACUGAAUACCACACCAAAAGCAUUCCAAGAGAUUAUCUGGAAACAGAAUUCUCAACUGUAAAGUCAACCCAUGGUGGACAUCUCACAAUCACAUUUUUAUGACAACAUACAGACUCUGGAUCAAAUAUGUCCUCUCAAAGUAUUUUAAAUUACCUCACAUACCUCACAACCUCUGAGGAUGUCUGCCAUAGAUGUGGUGAAACGUCAGGAGAGAAUGCUUCUGGAACAUGACAAUACAGCCUGGAAAAUGUACGACAACCCAGUGAUUCCAGCCAUGAAAGCCUUCAACAACAUUUUAAAUUCAUCCCUAUUCUCAUUCCCAUUCUAAUUUGGCAGAAAAUGUCUCAAUUAAUCUUCUGUCAUUCCACUUUAAUCUGUUUUUAAAAUGUCCUCAUUUCUUUCUCCACUCAGUUUCCCCCUUUGUCCUCAGCUCACUUAAGCUGCUACAAACUGAAUUCAAAGCAGAAAAGUAGCUUGCACUCAGCUCAGCAGGAGAAA